RNAcentral lists this ribosomal RNA (253 nucleotides) under uncultured bacterium. RNAcentral describes it as "partial 16S ribosomal RNA". It matches the Rfam family "Bacterial small subunit ribosomal RNA", at positions 524 to 776 of the family's 1533-position model. The record is from RNAcentral.
UACGUAGGGUCCGAGCGUUGUCCGGAAUUAUUGGGCGUAAAGAGCUCGUAGGCGGCUCGUUGCGUCGGCUGUGAAAACCCGCAGCUCAACUGUGGGCCUGCAGCCGAUACGGGCGGGCUGGAGUUCGGUAGGGGAGACUGGAAUUCCUGGUGUAGCGGUGAAAUGCGCAGAUAUCAGGAGGAACACCGGUGGCGAAGGCGGGUCUCUGGGCCGAUACUGACGCUGAGGAGCGAAAGCGUGGGGAGCGAACAGG